RNAcentral lists this ribosomal RNA (415 nucleotides) under uncultured bacterium. RNAcentral describes it as "bacterial SSU rRNA". It matches the Rfam family "Bacterial small subunit ribosomal RNA", at positions 358 to 773 of the family's 1533-position model. The record is from RNAcentral.
GGAAUCUUGCGCAAUGGGCGAAAGCCUGACGCAGCAACGCCGCGUGAGUGAAGAAGGCCUUCGGGUCGUAAAGCUCUGUCUGGAGGGAAGAAAACCCGCAUUGGUCGGGCUUGACGGUACCUCCAACGGACGCACCGGCUAACUCCGUGCCCGCAGCCGCGGUAAUACGGAGGGUGAAAGCGUUGUUCGGAAUCAUUGGGCGUAAAGCGCGCGCAGGCGGCCUAUUAAGUCUGAUGUGAAAGCCCGAGGCUCAACCUCGGAGGUGCAUUGGAAACUGGUAGGCUUGAGUCCGAGAGAGGUUAGUGGAAUUCGUGGUGUAGGGGUGAAAUCCGUAGAUAUCACGAGGAACACCAGUGGCGAAGGCGACUGACUAGAUCGGAACUGACGCUGAGGCGCGAAAGCGUGGGUAGCAAAC